UACGUAGGGUCCAAGCGUUAUCCGGAAUCACUGGGCGUAAAGCGUGCGUAGGUGGCGCGUUAAGUGAGAUGUUAAAUCGUGUGGCUCAACCAUAUCGAUGCAUCUCAUACUGGCGUGCUAGAGGACAGCAGAGGCAGGUGGAAUUUGUAGUGUAGCAGUGAAAUGCGUAGAUAUUACAAGGAACACCAAUGGCGAAGGCAGCUUGCUGGGCUACUCCUGACACUGAGGUACGAAAGCGUGGGGAGCGAACAGG
This 253-nucleotide ribosomal RNA is filed under the name uncultured bacterium. Its description in RNAcentral is "partial 16S ribosomal RNA". It matches the Rfam family "Bacterial small subunit ribosomal RNA", at positions 524 to 776 of the family's 1533-position model. The record is from RNAcentral.